RNAcentral lists this ribosomal RNA (497 nucleotides) under uncultured bacterium. RNAcentral's name for it is "partial 16S ribosomal RNA". It matches the Rfam family "Bacterial small subunit ribosomal RNA", at positions 28 to 507 of the family's 1533-position model. The record is from RNAcentral.
GAUGAACGCUGGCGGCGUGCCUAAUACAUGCCAGUCGAGCGAACAGACGAGGAGCUUGCUCCUCUGACGUUAGCGGCGGACGGGUGAGUAACACGUGGAUAACCUACCUAUAAGACUGGGAUAACUUCGGGAAACCGGAGCUAAUACCGGAUAAUAUAUUGAACCGCAUUGUUCAAUAGUGAAAGACGGUUUUGCUGUCACUUAUAGAUGGAUCCGCGCCGCAUUAGCUAGUUGGUAAGGUAACGGCUUACCAAGGCAACGAGGCGUAGCCGACCUGAGCGGGUGAUCGGCCACACUGGAACUGAGACACGGUACAGACUCCUACGGGAGGCAGCAGUAGGGAAUCUUCCGCAAUGGGCGAAAGCGUGACGGAGCAACGCCGCGUGAGUGAUGAAGGUCUUCGGAUCGUAAAACUCUGUUAUUAGGGAAGAACAAAUGUGUAAGUAACUAUGCACGUCUUGACGGUACCUAAUCAGAAAGCCACGGCUAACUACGUG